Molecule: ribosomal RNA, 442 nt
Filed under: uncultured bacterium
Lineage: Bacteria
Description: bacterial SSU rRNA
Rfam family: Bacterial small subunit ribosomal RNA
Source: RNAcentral
AACGCGAAGAACCUUACCUGGGCUCGAAGCGCAGUGGACCAGGGUGGAAACAUCCUUUUCUCGCAAGAGACUGCUGCGUAGGUGCUGCAUGGCUGUCGUCAGCUCGUGUCGUGAGAUGUUGGGUUAAGUCCCGCAACGAGCGCAACCCUUAUCGUUAGUUGCUAACGCGUUAUGGCGAGCACUCUAGCGAAACCGCCCCGGACAACGGGGAGGAAGGUGGGGAUGACGUCAAGUCCUCAUGGCCUUUAUGUCCAGGGCUACACACGUGCUACAAUGCCCGGUACAAACCGUUGCAAACCCGCGAGGGGGAGCUAAUCGGAAAAAGCCGGGCUCAGUUCGGAUUGGAGUCUGCAACUCGACUCCAUGAAGCUGGAAUCGCUAGUAAUCGCGGAUCAUCACGCCGCGGUGAAUACGUUCCCGGGCCUUGUACACACCGUAGUAC